CCUACGGGAGGCAGCAGUGGGGAAUAUUGGACAAUGGGCGCAAGCCUGAUCCAGCCAUGCCGCGUGAGUGAUGAAGGCCCUAGGGUUGUAAAGCUCUUUUGUGCGGGAAGAUAAUGACGGUACCGCAAGAAUAAGCCCCG
This 140-nucleotide ribosomal RNA is filed under the name uncultured bacterium. RNAcentral's name for it is "partial 16S ribosomal RNA". It matches the Rfam family "Bacterial small subunit ribosomal RNA", at positions 338 to 495 of the family's 1533-position model. The record is from RNAcentral.